GAUUUGGUCCCGGGUUCAGACCCAACGCUGGCGGCUGGCUUAUAACUUGCAAUCCCAACCAUCCUUCGGGAGGAUGCCUCACGGGUGCGUCUCGCGUGGCAACAUACCCUCGGGUGCGUAAUAAGCGGGGAAACUUGUGCUAAUUCCGCAUAAUGUCUUCGGACCGGGGAUUAAUGCGCCAGUGGACUAGCCCUCGUCUGAAUAUCUAUUUGGAGAGGGCUUGGCUCACCAAGGUGACGAUGGGUCCCUGGUCCGAUAGGAAGAUCGGCAACACUGGGACUGACACGGCGACCAUACUCCUCCGAGAUGCAACGGUGAGCAACCUUGGAGGAUGUGAGACACUCCCAUCCCUCCUUGGCGCGUGAGCAUUAAAGGACCUACGGCUGUAAAGCUCUCUCCGCCCUGACGACACCCAGUGAACGUGAGAGAAAACCCCGCGUAAAGCCCUGCUGCAGCCACGAUAAUACAACCUGGGGGAAGCGUUGGUUCCAAUCACUGGCCCUGAAGACGUGCGCACGGGGUAUUUGCCUGUCCAAAAAGUGAAAUCCCUGGGGCUCCGCCCCGGGGAAUUGGUUUUUGAAAUAAUGGGAAUCUAAAAUCCGGGCAGGGGGUCCCGAAAAAUUCCUAAUGGUAAAAGGCUC
RNAcentral lists this ribosomal RNA (641 nucleotides) under uncultured Bacteroidota bacterium. Its description in RNAcentral is "bacterial SSU rRNA". It matches the Rfam family "Bacterial small subunit ribosomal RNA", at positions 9 to 691 of the family's 1533-position model. The record is from RNAcentral. Lineage: Bacteria; Pseudomonadati; Bacteroidota.